Nomascus leucogenys (northern white-cheeked gibbon) is the source of this 1150-nucleotide long non-coding RNA. RefSeq lists it as uncharacterized. The record is from RefSeq and is a predicted model, not a curated record. The transcript is spliced from 2 exons. Lineage: Eukaryota; Metazoa; Chordata; Mammalia; Primates; Hylobatidae.
UUCAUCCAAAUGAGACAACACCACACCAAACGGGGAAUGGCUGAAGGUGAGACGGAUUCAUCCAAAUGAGACACCACCACACCAAACGGGUAAUGGCUGAAGGUAAGACGGAUUCAUCCAAAUGAGACAAAACCACACCAAAUGGGGAAGGAAUUCAAGGUCCUUGGUCCUUUUAUCUGCUGAAAGUGCUUUUUCAGCUGAGCACAUUUCUUCAUCUUAAAGCUAGGCCACAAUAGUUGUGGCAUGAGCAACUGCCCUGAUCCUGAGACACUCACUUCUUCCCUGUCCCCAAACCACAACCAGCCCUCCCGGACAGUGGACCCCCUUCCACACCAGCACAAUGACCCAUCUCGUGGUUGCCCAGGCCCCUACUGGCCUUGGCUCUUUCCAUUCAUUGCAGGUUUAUUUGAGGGUCGUCUUUACCUUUAUAUUCUACAGUGACGGAGCAAGGCCAUCUCCCAUUAUUUCUCAGUAUGGGUGUCAUAUUUCUGCUUCAGGCAAGCAAGAGGCCUGGAAGUUUGUUGAAUUCUUUAUGUCAACUGGCUUACCUCUACCCAAGAACUCUGCAAAACUACUUAGCCAGGCUGCCAACCCCAAGGAGGCAUGCUGGUAGCACCAUUCUUCCUCCAGAGUCUCCCUCACACAGAUGGGCCAGAAUACUCCCAUGGUAUAAGCAUGCGCAAGUUUAGCACCUGGACACUACACAUUGAUUUCUGCAAUCUGGUGAUUCUAAGGCCACGAAGACGGCUUCUGAAUUGCCACCCUCACUGAGUCUUUAAUUUCAUGGAUGACUUGGCAUGUUUUCAAAGCCCAGAAGAACGUCAUUGCCAAGGCACCACUCUCCUGACUCCACCCAGCUGAUCUCAGCUUCGCAUCAUUUCAUUUGAUCUUCAUACAUCCUCAAGUUACCCAGAGACAAACUGUUUUUAGAAGAAGUAAUUUACAUUAAGGGGUUAAAUCCUGGGUAUAUUCUCAGGAACGUGAUUACUGGGUACAGUAGUUCUAUUUUUUGUUUUUGAGGAACUUCCAAAUUAUUUUCCGUAAUAGACAUACUAAUUUACAUUCUCACCAAUUGUGUAAAAGAGUUCUGUUUUUUCAGCUUCCUCUUCAUCACUGUUGUAUUUCAUCUUUUUAAUAAAAGCUACUUUAA